AGGCAUCUACUGGUAGGCCUUGAACAAUUUGCUGUUGCUCUUUUGGUUUGCACUAAGGUGUAAAAGAAAAUGGUCCCUGAGCUUUCUGUCUGUCUUUGUGGCAGCGCAGAUUGAAUUGGGGAAUAUGUCC
Molecule: small nucleolar RNA, 130 nt
Filed under: Castor canadensis (American beaver)
Lineage: Eukaryota; Metazoa; Chordata; Mammalia; Rodentia; Castoridae
Description: Small nucleolar RNA SNORA31 (ENSCCNG00000021703.1)
Rfam family: Small nucleolar RNA SNORA31
About the family: ACA31 (SNORA31) belongs to the H/ACA class of snoRNAs which are thought to guide the sites of modification of uridines to pseudouridines. ACA31 is predicted to guide the pseudouridylation of U3713 in 28S rRNA and U218 in 18S rRNA. This family includes the mouse homologue snoMBI-161.
Source: Rfam by way of RNAcentral